This 373-nucleotide ribosomal RNA is filed under the name uncultured organism. Its description in RNAcentral is "bacterial SSU rRNA". It matches the Rfam family "Bacterial small subunit ribosomal RNA", at positions 526 to 896 of the family's 1533-position model. The record is from RNAcentral.
CGUAGGGUGCAAGCGUUGUCCGGAAUUAUUGGGCGUAAAGAGCUCGUAGGCGGUCUGUCGCGUCGGAUGUGAAAACCCAGGGCUCAACCCUGGGCCUGCAUUCGAUACGGGCAGACUAGAGUUCGGCAGGGGAGACUGGAAUUCCUGGUGUAGCGGUGAAAUGCGCAGAUAUCAGGAGGAACACCGGUGGCGAAGGCGGGUCUCUGGGCCGAUACUGACGCUGAGGAGCGAAAGCGUGGGGAGCGAACAGGAUUAGAUACCCUGGUAGUCCACGCCGUAAACGUUGGGCGCUAGGUGUGGGGAACCUUCCACGUUCUCCGUGCCGCAGCUAACGCAUUAAGCGCCCCGCCUGGGGAGUACGGCCGCAAGGCUA